This 414-nucleotide ribosomal RNA is filed under the name Ischnura senegalensis. RNAcentral describes it as "partial 16S ribosomal RNA". It matches the Rfam family "Archaeal large subunit ribosomal RNA", at positions 1889 to 2551 of the family's 2987-position model. The record is from RNAcentral. Lineage: Eukaryota; Metazoa; Arthropoda; Insecta; Odonata; Coenagrionidae.
CGCCUGUUUAACAAAAACAUGUCCUGUUGAUAUAUUUAACAGGUCAGACCUGCCCGGUGAUGAAUUUAACGGCCGCGGUAUAUUGACCGUGCAAAGGUAGCAUAAUCAUUAGUCUUUUAAUAGGAGGCUGGAAUGAAAGGUUUAACGAGAAAUUAUCUGUCUCAAUUACAAAAUUGAAUUUAUCUUUUAAGUCAAAAGACUUAAAUUAUGUUGGUGGACGAGAAGACCCUAUAGAGCUUUACAUAUUUUUAUAAAAAGGUAUUUAGGAAAUAAUUUGCUUUUUUAGGUUAAACAUGUUUUGUUGGGGUGACAAUAAAUAUAUAUUUAACUUUUAUCAUAUUAUUUACAUUAAUAUAUGAUUUUUGGAUCCAAAAAUUUUGAUCAAUAGAUCAAGUUACCUUAGGGAUAACAGCG